This is a non-coding RNA of Triticum aestivum (bread wheat), 125 nucleotides long. NCBI's taxonomy places the organism in Eukaryota, Viridiplantae, Streptophyta, Magnoliopsida, Poales, Poaceae. The record is from Rfam.
CUUAUACUCUCUCCGCCGAAAAUGCUUGUCCCUCAAAUGGUUGUAUCUAGCACCAAGUUAGUGCUAGAUAUAUCCAUUUGAGGGACAAGCAUGGGACAAACUUUUUCGGGCGGAGGGAGUAUAUG